This is a long non-coding RNA of Pollicipes pollicipes, 697 nucleotides long. RefSeq lists it as uncharacterized. The transcript has 2 exons. NCBI's taxonomy places the organism in Eukaryota, Metazoa, Arthropoda, Thecostraca, Pollicipedomorpha, Pollicipedidae. The record is from RefSeq and is a predicted model, not a curated record.
CGGGCCGCCCAGCUGACCACCGGCCUCACCACCUUCAGCCCUGCAGCUGUCGGAGCAGGAGCGCCAGGCGCGCAGCCGGCUCGUGCUGCCCUACCUCAGGCCGGAGCAGGGUCGGGAGGAGGCCGGGUCGGGAGGUCAGAUCUUCUACCAGCCGGACGCCGCCGACGACUGGGACGAGGAGGAUCCCGACGACGAUCUGGACGUGUGACCUGACCUGGCACGAUCCCGGGCCUGGGAUGACCUCGGCCAGGUCGGGAGGAGCUGUUAAAGGUCUUUGCCACCUCCAGUCCGAAGGAUCAGCCGAAUGUGAACUAGGCCUGGCCUGGAAGGUGACCGGGGUCUGACCACGGCAGACACGACCCGCGGCGUGACCCCGGCAGCGCCUGAGCCUGUGUGACCGCUGUGGGUCUGUCAGUGGAUCUCCGUCUGCGUCCGGCUCCGAAGGACCGGACCCGGGCGACGCAUCUGUCGAGGGAACCGUGCCGUGCCUUCCCGUGCAGGGGAGAAUGGCGUGUGUAAACUGACUGAUUAAUUAAGUCCGCAGAGACGCACAGCCGGGCCGAUGAAUGUCGGAGCGGCUCCGAAGACUGGUCUUGACGGGUCCGAAGACCGGUCGAUAAGUUUGUUGUCUGACUUCAAAGAUGAUAAAUUUGUUUUGCAAUUACUGUGCGAGUGUUAAGAACAUCAACCACUGCGA